Molecule: ribosomal RNA, 420 nt
Filed under: Triticum aestivum (bread wheat)
Lineage: Eukaryota; Viridiplantae; Streptophyta; Magnoliopsida; Poales; Poaceae
Description: partial small subunit ribosomal RNA
Source: RNAcentral
AUGGCCCCCAAGGCGGAGAAGAAGCCGGUGGAGGAGAAGGCCGAGAAGACCACGGCGGGGAAGAAGACCAAGGCCGAGAAGAGGCCGCCGGCGUUCAAGGAGGGCGGCGCUGACAAGAAGGUCAAGAAGAAGUCCAAGAAGAGCGUGGAGACGUACAAGAUCUACAUCUUCAAGGUGCUGAAGCAGGUGCACCCGGACAUCGGCAUCUCCUCCAAGGCCAUGUCCAUCAUGAACUCCUUCAUCAAUGACAUCUUCGAGAAGCUCGCCGGCGAGUCCGCCAAGCUCGCGAGGUACAACAAGAAGCCCACCAUCACGUCCCGGGAGAUCCAGACCUCCGUCCGCCUUGUCCUCCCCGGCGAGCUCGCCAAGCACGCCGUCUCCGAGGGCACCAAGGCCGUCACCAAGUUCACCUCCGCAUAG